AUUGAACGCUGGCGGCAUGCCUUACACAUGCAAGUCGAACGGCAGCACGGACUUCGGUCUGGUGGCGAGUGGCGAACGGGUGAGUAAUACAUCGGAACGUGCCCGGACGUGGGGGAUAACUACUCGAAAGAGUGGCUAAUACCGCAUACGAUCCAAGGAUGAAAGCGGGGGAUCGCAAGACCUCGCGCGUUUGGAGCGGCCGAUGGCAGAUUAGGUAGUUGGUGAGGUAAAGGCUUACCAAGCCUGCGAUCUGUAGCUGGUCUGAGAGGAUGAUCAGCCACACUGGGACUGAGACACGGCCCAGACUCCUACGGGAGGCAGCAGUGGGGAAUUUUGGACAAUGGGCGAAAGCCUGAUCCAGCCAUUCCGCGUGCAGGAUGAAGGCCCUCGGGUUGUAAACUGCUUUUGUACGGAACGAAAGGACUCUUGCUAAUACCAGGAGUCCAUGACGGUACCGUAAGAAUAAGCACCGGCUAACUACGUGCC
Molecule: ribosomal RNA, 486 nt
Filed under: uncultured bacterium
Lineage: Bacteria
Description: bacterial SSU rRNA
Rfam family: Bacterial small subunit ribosomal RNA
Source: RNAcentral